RNAcentral lists this ribosomal RNA (499 nucleotides) under uncultured bacterium. Its description in RNAcentral is "partial 16S ribosomal RNA". It matches the Rfam family "Bacterial small subunit ribosomal RNA", at positions 28 to 507 of the family's 1533-position model. The record is from RNAcentral.
GACGAACGCUGGCGGCGUGCCUAAUAAAUGCAAGUCGAGCGAAGUUUUUCUGGUGCUUGCACUAGAAAAACUUAGCGGCGAACGGGUGAGUAACACGUAAAGAACCUGCCUCAUAGACUGGGACAACUAUUGGAAACGAUAGCUAAUACCGGAUAACAGUAUUUCUCGCAUGAGAGAUAUUUAAAAGUUGGUUAUGCUAACACUAUGAGAUGGCUUUGCGGUGCAUUAGCUAGUUGGUGGGGUAAAGGCCCACCAAGGCGACGAUGCAUAGCCGACCUGAGAGGGUGAUCGGCCACACUGGGACUGAGACACGGCCCAGACUCCUACGGGAGGCAGCAGUAGGGAAUCUUCCGCAAUGGGCGAAAGCCUGACGGAGCAACGCCGCGUGAGUGAAGAAGGAUUUCGGUUCGUAAAGCUCUGUUGUUAGGGAAGAAUGGAUAUGUAGUAACUAUACAUGUAAGAGACGGUACCUAACCAGAAAGCCACGGCUAACUACGUG